This 57-nucleotide transfer RNA is filed under the name Agama montana. Its description in RNAcentral is "tRNA-Ser". The record is from RNAcentral. Lineage: Eukaryota; Metazoa; Chordata; Lepidosauria; Squamata; Agamidae.
GAGAUCGACUACGAACUGCUAAUUCGCACACACUGAGUUUAAACCUUCAGCCCUCUC